This 710-nucleotide ribosomal RNA is filed under the name Heyndrickxia coagulans. Its description in RNAcentral is "bacterial SSU rRNA". It matches the Rfam family "Bacterial small subunit ribosomal RNA", at positions 92 to 785 of the family's 1533-position model. Lineage: Bacteria; Bacillati; Bacillota; Bacilli; Caryophanales; Bacillaceae. The record is from RNAcentral.
UUAGCGGCGCGACGGGUGAGUAACACGUGGGUAACCUGCCCAUAAGACUGGGAUAACUCCGGGAAACCGGGGCUAAUACCGGAUAACAUUUUGAACCGCAUGGUUCGAAAUUGAAAGGCGGCUUCGGCUGUCACUUAUGGAUGGACCCGCGUCGCAUUAGCUAGUUGGUGAGGUAACGGCUCACCAAGGCAACGAUGCGUAGCCGACCUGAGAGGGUGAUCGGCCACACUGGGACUGAGACACGGCCCAGACUCCUACGGGAGGCAGCAGUAGGGAAUCUUCCGCAAUGGACGAAAGUCUGACGGAGCAACGCCGCGUGAGUGAUGAAGGCUUUCGGGUCGUAAAACUCUGUUGUUAGGGAAGAACAAGUGCUAGUUGAAUAAGCUGGCACCUUGACGGUACCUAACCAGAAAGCCACGGCUAACUACGUGCCAGCAGCCGCGGUAAUACGUAGGUGGCAAGCGUUAUCCGGAAUUAUUGGGCGUAAAGCGCGCGCAGGUGGUUUCUUAAGUCUGAUGUGAAAGCCCACGGCUCAACCGUGGAGGGUCAUUGGAAACUGGGAGACUUGAGUGCAGAAGAGGAAAGUGGAAUUCCAUGUGUAGCGGUGAAAUGCGUAGAGAUAUGGAGGAACACCAGUGGCGAAGGCGACUUUCUGGUCUGUAACUGACACUGAAGCGCGAAAGCGUGGGGGAGCAAACAGGAUUAGAUAC